UAUACUAUGCAAACUAUCGAUCACACUAAUCAACCCAGAUUGAGAACAACUAAUCGUAAACGUUCUAUGUUUAACAAACGCCUUGCAAGUGACUAAAAAUGCUCGAUGAAUGAUUUUGAAGUGUGUAUGUCUGUGUUUUUGUCCUCAAACAGCGUCCAAGAAACAUCUUUUUUUAUUGUGCUCGCAUAUAUCCAUUAGGGAUCGGCCAUUUCCAAUUUAUCUCAAUGAUUUCAAGAAAUCGAAUACAUUCAUUAUGUUUGACUUCGAAUUCGAGAUGGAGAUGGAGAUGGAGUACUCGUUGUUAAUGGAUUAUCAUUCAUUUUGUUGCGUCAUCUUUUUGCACAAAUUCUUUGAGCGUGAAGGCCUUGACUUUUGCUUUUGUAAACAACAAAAGAGAAACAUAAAUAAAGAGGUCUUUCACGCUGAAUUAUCGAAUUAUCGCAUAACCAUUAAAACCGAUCGAAGUGUGCAAAAAGUUUGGCAACUUUUUAAUGAACCAAUAAUGGAGUUGCAUUUGAAGACCAUUCACCGCCAUCAGAGUGAAGAAAUUCUUCUAUGAAAUUCAAUUCAUUCAAGCUUUAAUCAUAGUUCAUUGGCUGACCAUGACCUGGCCAAAAAACAUAAAAAAAAAGUGACCUUAAGCUGGAAGUUCCCACUGUGCGACCUCAGCUGAACUUGCCACCUGAAAACAUUGGCACGCCUUUUUUUGCCAUUAGUCUCAUGUCUAUAUGUCAAUCAAAAUCAAAAUCGCGUAAUUAAAUAAUUAAUUUAUUUAUUGUAUGUUUUUGUUUUCGUUUCAACAAGUGAUGCUGAUAAGCAAGCAUAUCAUAUCUUAUAUUCCAAUCAAGCCAUUUAAUCAACUGAAUGUUGCAUGUUAUCUGUUUAUUGUUUAAUUAUGUGUCUUGAGUUUUACAUACAUUCAUACAUAUAUAUUCGUUUAUUUUCGUUUCCUUAAAGUGUUGUUUUUGUUGUAAUUAUUUUUAAGCACAGGCAUUUAAUUUUCCUCCCGAAAUCCGCAAAAUAUUUUCGUUUUCGUUAUCGCGUUGCUUGUCACACUUUGUUUGUGUGAUUGCUGCUUUUAAUUACAGCUCAGCCCUGUUGUUUAUUUCUUAUUUUUAUCCCCAUGUGUAUGCCCACAUUUUGAAACCACAGCCAAUCAAUAAUACGGUCUAGCAUACUCAAGGAUUGGCUUUUUUCUUUGUUCAAACUAAUCAAGGCAUCGAUCAAAUGCGGACAAAAACCCCUGUCAAUUUGCUCGAUAGACGGCAAUUUUACAAUUUUGCAAUUCUACAAUGCAAAUCAGUCAUUGAAGACGGGUUCAUACAUAUGUAUGUACAUGUAUGUGUCUAUGUGUGGGGUAUAGGGUAUAUGGGGUAUAUACAUAUGUACAUACAUUUUAAUCAAGCGCAUUUGCUGCACAUUUGUGUUGGCUAUCUCUCCCUCCCAUCGUCGGCGUCGGCCUUCCUUAUGUAAGUCUAGCAAAAAAACCAAAAAGUACAUACAAACGGUAGAACCUGGGGCAA
Molecule: long non-coding RNA, 1523 nt
Organism: Drosophila sulfurigaster albostrigata
Lineage: Eukaryota; Metazoa; Arthropoda; Insecta; Diptera; Drosophilidae
Exons: 2
Source: RefSeq, a predicted model, not a curated record